Long non-coding RNA from Anthonomus grandis grandis, 524 nucleotides. RefSeq lists it as uncharacterized. NCBI's taxonomy places the organism in Eukaryota, Metazoa, Arthropoda, Insecta, Coleoptera, Curculionidae. The transcript has 3 exons. The record is from RefSeq and is a predicted model, not a curated record.
AAGCGUAGUGAUAAAAUAAUGGCACUUGUGAAGACACAAUCUAAACCAAUACAUCGGUUAUCUAUGUGUAAUAAAGAAAAUGUUGUUCCAAAUAAUUUUUUAUCUACAUUGGUUUCUUGUGAUAAUAAAUAUGGGGACGAGAUAUUAGGACCACAGGAACAAGAUAUUUUGCAGCACUUUCAGGAGACAGGAGAAAAUCCACGAUGUGAUCAGAUUAUUAGUAAUGGAAAUGAGGUUCCUGUUCGUCUGUUUGCAAUUCCAAAGAAACAAGAUGUUCUUCAAGAACUAGCAGAAAUCCCACUAGAUGAUUACAAUAUUAUUAGUAAUGAAAAUGAUGUUCCUGUUGGUCUGACUGCAUUUCCAGACCCCUCUGAUCAAGAUGUGCUUCAAGAACUAGCAGAAAUCCCACUAGAUGGUAAGUUAAUUUUCUAAUUUUAAUCUCUUGUGCAAAAUGCGCGCUUUGAGGCAUGUUUCUUUGUCUUUGCUAGAUAUUUUAAACUUCUAUGAGGGCAUCACCGGGCGAA